Molecule: ribosomal RNA, 97 nt
Filed under: Perkinsus marinus
Lineage: Eukaryota; Perkinsozoa; Perkinsida; Perkinsidae
Description: partial Eukaryotic large subunit ribosomal RNA
Rfam family: Eukaryotic large subunit ribosomal RNA
Source: RNAcentral
UAUAUACUCGAGACCGAUAGCACAAAAGUACCGUGAGGGAAAGGUGAAAAGAACUUUGAGAAGAGGGUUAAAUAGUGCCUGAAAUCGUUGAGAAGGA